GCUGCCUUAGCUCAGUGGUAGAGCGGGAGACUGCAGUUUCUUCUAGCCGCCUCGGCUCAGUCGAGGAAGGAUAGAUCUCCUGUAAUCUUCAGGUCAAUCGUUCAAACCGGUUAGGCAGCU
Xylona heveae TC161 is the source of this 120-nucleotide non-coding RNA. The record is from the annotation of a RefSeq genome assembly. NCBI's taxonomy places the organism in Eukaryota, Fungi, Ascomycota, Xylonomycetes, Xylonales, Xylonaceae.